Molecule: long non-coding RNA, 3954 nt
Organism: Mus musculus (house mouse)
Lineage: Eukaryota; Metazoa; Chordata; Mammalia; Rodentia; Muridae
Product: predicted gene, 32438
Exons: 5
Source: RefSeq, a predicted model, not a curated record
CCCUGCUGCAGACAGGAGGAAGAGCUGUGAUCCUAUAAUCACUGCUGUUACAUCUCAGAAAGGGUACAGAUUAUUGCCUCCUGCAUAGCUGGACUUAGACCUAGAGGUCGUCUGAGGUCUGCCUGCAAUCACAGAGAUAUGAGGCUCCUGAGGUUCUUGUAAACUCAAAGCUGACACUCAUAAAUAAAUGUUAGUCAGCAACAAGCAAUGGCAUUAAACCCCCCAAGAGCUUCUGAAAAACUUAUACAAGAAUACUGUCACAUGAAAAUGGGAUAGAAUUAGAGCCACAUCAAGAGGAACAAAGUCAACUGCAGAGGCUUGGAGUGGUCCUCGGUCAGCCUGCACUUUGGUGGCCACAGUGGCCUGACCCCGUGCCACUGGCAACAGCAUAUUCCAAGUGCAGCCUCUUCUGAUUGUCUGAUUGCCAAGUCAUGAGCCCAGACUUCAAAGGACGAGGAGGCUCAGGCAACUGAGGACUCACGCGCAGAUGUGACAGCUUCACGGGAGCCACGCCUUCCUGAGUACAGAGGAGGUGACAUGAAAGUAGCGGCGGAUGGAACUGUAAGUCAGCGUUUCCAACUUCUCUAACUUGGAAGGAGUCAUGAGAGUUAAAGCCCUAAGGAUGAGACAGAAGCAUCCUCACUCUCCUGCACUCUUUGGCCAGCCUGUGGGAUGGAUUUUGCUAUGGCCUUCAUUUCCCAAAAGAAGAAGGUGAAGUUGGUGAAUGCCUUCAUCAAGAGGCACCGCAAGGGAAUGGCAGAAAAUCACAAUGUUUAUCUAGCUGUGUCUACAUCACUCGUGUGUUACGAGCCACUCAGCAACAAGCAGUGACCAAAUGACAUGGCCUUAUAGUUUUACUCUUUCUCCUGUAUACUGGAAAGUUUCACACAAAUAUUUAGCAUAUUCUGGUUUUUAUUCACACCCCAUUACAUCCUGGUAUCCCCUUUUCUUCCCCUCUCCUCUCUCUUUCCAGCCUAGCUUUGUCACUCUUAAGUGGCCCGCCAUCAACACACCAGAGACCAAGAAGAGCACAUUCCAGCUGAAUCCUCAGCAAACAUGAAACACAAAGACAGCUCCCUGAUCCCAAGACAGUACAGUACUGCCCUGCCAUGGGGAAGUCUUCUUGAUGCGAAGCUCCCGGUGUUCUUUGGCAGCUAAUGAAUCCACUUCUGAGCUCCGUGCACAGAAACACAACUUAAAGGUGCUGUCUACCUUUUCCUGGGACAGAGUCUCUCACUGGCCUGGAACUCACGAAGUCAUCCAGACUGGCAGACCAGCAAGCCUCAGUGGUCUGCCUUUCUUUGUUUCCCCAGUAUGGAGUUUAAAAGCACAUGCUGCCACACUUGGCUUUUUAAAAGUGGGUUCUGGGGAUCAAACCCUGGUCCUAGUGCUUGCAAGACAAACACCUUACUGACUGAGCCAUCUCUCCAGCAAAGAGCAAUUUUCUUUUAAGUGCCACAUAAGUGCCACCAGAGCUUCUUCAGACUGCCUUUUGAAGAGACAGACUAUCUAAGAAGUAAUCCAAAUGAUACAAGGGUAUUUGGAGAUGUCUUUUCAUUGCUUCGGUUUCUUCAGUUUAGCCAGGAAGUAAUAGCAGUGACUGGGCACGAGGGACUUUAUGAUGGGGAUUUUGAGUUCAGAUACCCCCAAGUGCUGGCCCGAACAAAGAAGGAAGCAGAGGGAGGAACUGUCAGUCAGAACCCAUCCCUGCCCACGCAUCUAUAAUUACAACAACGGUUGCAGCGCAACUCAAAAACAUAAACAGGCUGAGCUGGCCUAAGCCCAGGGCUCUAUUUAUAACCUCCAUGGACCUACUUAUAGCCUUGACACCCUCUUUGAAACAAGCCCACAGAUGAGCAGCAGAGACAAGGGCCAGUCUCAGUUGUGAGGUGAUGCAAAUGAUACUGUCGUCUUAAGUGGAGAUGCUCAGCCAUCCUGACAGAGGCUCAUCUCAGAGGAAACAUCUUCCUGGGGCAGGCCAGACAGGAACACAGAGCCAAAGGUCUUGCAACUCAGACUUGGAAAUUACAGGGUUCAUCCGGAAGGUGUGACAGUGCCUCGUCACAGGUCACCAGUGCUACUGAAUUUGGCUUGAAACACGAUUGUUUAGGCAAGACAGGAAGUGGCCAAGAAGUGAGACCCAGAGGCAAGCAGGGGACCAGGUUGUCAGACAGCUCUGUGUUGGCCUGGCUGGCCUUGACCAAGUUUCUUGAUUUCUCUGAGGCUUGGGUUUUUUUCCUUCUAUGUAAUGGAAGGAUUAAAAAUGCCUCUUAGAUGGGCAUAUAGUGACUCGUGAUUUUUAUAGUAUCAAUAUUAAUAACUUAGUUUAUAAAAAAGCAAGGUUUUCUGAAAGUGUUGGCUCAUCUAACCCAUUUUGGAUAAUUCUAUACUGACUUUGAGAUGGUCCUUGUUAUGAAAAAAAACAAAAAUGCAAAACUCAAGUCUAAGGCUGAGGAGAUGAUGGGUCAGUAGAUAGAGUCAUGGUAGCAUGCAGCUAUGAUAUGAUCCCAGAACUUCCUUAGGGAGAUCAGAGGCAGAAACAAGAGAAUUGUGGGAAGGUCAUGAGAUGUGAAGAACAGAAAAGCAGCCAAAAGGCCUGCUUCCAACAUGGUGAAAAAUGAGGACCUGAACCUGAAGGGUGUUAUUCUCUGGCCAUCACACACAUGCCACGGCACAUGCAUGCCUGCACAGAGACACACUCAGAAGUAUAACCAGACAGACACACAUACAGAGAUACAUACACACAGAGAAACACAAAGACAUACACAGACAGACACACACACAUAGAGAGAAACACACAGAAAUAGAAACACAAAGACACACACACAGAUACAAACAGACACAGAGACAUACAUACACACACACAGACAGACACACAUACAAAGACACACACAGACACACAGAGAUACAAACAGAUACAGAGACAUAUACACAGACAGACACACAUACAGAGACACACACACAGACAUACACACAGAUAUACACACACAGACACACAUACAUAUACACACAGAGACACACAGACACACAAAGACAUACACACAGAUACACAGACACCGACACACACAUAGACAGACAGACACACAGGAACAGACAGACACACAGGCACAGACACACACACAGACAGACAGACACACACACAGGCACACUCACACACACAGGCACAGACGCACACACACACACACACAGGCACACACACACACGCACACACACACACGCACACACACAGGCACACACACACACAGGCACACACACACACACACACACACACACACACACACACACAGAGCUAAUUAAGAAAGAACCAAAGCACUGGAAGAUAUUUUUAGAGACGUCUCUCCUACAGGAGCCGAUGUUAAUUAUUUCAGAGGAUUUAGAAUGCAUUUGAUUGCUUCAUAUUUCUGCAUCUUAAUAUUCAAAGGUAAUAUUAUUUACAUAGCAUAAUUGUAAAUGUCUUAUACAGUUUAACGAGGAGCAUAUUUGAUGGGGGAAAACAAGCCUUUCCUCUUCCUGACAGGUCUUCAAACAUUCAAAGACUGAACUGAUCAUCCACACCUCUUCUCCUAUCCUUGUACACAGUCAGGACUUUCUCCCUUGGCACAGAAAGCUCUGGAUCAUUCAGCUAGUUCAGUUCCUUCCCCUUUCCCUUUUAUUUUAAGCAUCCCCGAUGUUUGCUCACGCUCUCCUCUCAGCUGCCUCUGACACUCUAAGGAUGAAUAACAUCCAGCUGUACAGACGAUAUGCAACUGUCCCCCUUCUCUUUCUCAAGUAUUUUGAGUCUGCUUCCUUUCCCAAAGGUGGGUAAUGCAUGCUUAGGGAAUAUGAAUUCAUUUCGUCUGUCUACUUGCCCAUCUAUAGUAAACACAUGAAAAAGUAUGCAGACUGUUCCAAAAUAAAAUAAAAUAAAAUAAGUUAUUUACUCAGGAGGCUGAGGUAGGUAUGAGUUCAAAACCA